GUAUAGAGUAUGUUGGGGAUUUAGAACCAAAAACUGAUCUGAGUUUCAUAUCUUCAAGUUCAGCAUUGAUUUCAAAAUAAGGACCAUUGAGCUUGAUGGAAAGCGAAUCAAAUUGCAAAUAUGGGAUACAGCCGGUCAAGAGCGUUUCCGAACUAUCACAACGGUGGCACUGAGGAAGAAGUGUGGGCUACUGGAGUCUGGAACUGAGUGCAGUCACAUGCAAACAGAACAAACAACAAAAAAUAUAAACUCUGCAACUCAUUGGAUUGACCAGAUGGGGUACUCCUUUCCUGACAAGGGAAUUCUUUCACGAGAUGGGAUCAAUACUGGGAGAUCAGGUACUACUUAUUGUUGCUAAAGACGAGGGUGAACUAGUUGGGGGUGCCCUUAACCUUAUUGGAGGAGAUACUUUGUUUGGGCGUCUAUGGGGGUGUCAGCCUGAAACUUACUAUCCAUUUUUGCAUUUUGAAGCAUGCUAUUAUCAGGUUAACAAUGCCUCAUUAUCUCUCUCCUCAUGUAUGGGGGUGUCAGCCUGAAAGUGUUUGGCACAUGAACAGAUCAAA
Molecule: long non-coding RNA, 563 nt
Organism: Vicia villosa (hairy vetch)
Lineage: Eukaryota; Viridiplantae; Streptophyta; Magnoliopsida; Fabales; Fabaceae
Exons: 4
Source: RefSeq, a predicted model, not a curated record